AUGAACACUGUGAGGAUUCUGAUCUCUUGUGCAGCAAAUUUCGAGUGGCCUUUACACCAACUCGAUGUGAAGAAUGCCUUCUUUCAUGGGGACUUGCAGGAGGAGGUAUACAUGGAGAUUCCACCUGGGUUCUCGAUUCCUGAGACUGUUGGGAAGUUAUGCAGGCUAAAGAAAGCUCUUUACGAACUGAAGCAGUCUCCAGGUGCUUGGUUUGAUAAGUUUAGACGGGUUGUGUGUGACAUGGGGUAUGGACACUCUAAAGGGAAAAUGACCAUCCUUGCAGUUUAUGUUGAUGAUAUCAUUAUCACCGGCGAAGAUGACAUAGAGAUAACAAGGUUAAAGGGGUGUCUGAGUAAGGCAUUUAAAGUUAAAGAUCUUGGUCGACUCAAGUACUUCCUUGGUAUAGAAGUGGCAAGGUCUAGAAAAGGAAUAGGUCUUUCUCAAAGAAAGUAUAAUCUGGGCCUCCUCUGUGAUGUUGGCAUGUUGGGUUAUCAAGCUGCUUCAACCACAAUUGAUCAAAACCAUAAAUUGACUGCCCAAUCAGGUGAUCUGGUGGAUAAAGAAAAAUAUCAGCGAUUGGUGGGAAGAUUGUUAUACUUGUGUCAUACACGACCAGACAUUGCAUUUGCAAUAAGUGUUGUGAACAGAUAUAUGCAUGAACCUAGAAGUGAACAUCUCGAGGCAGCAUAUAGAAUCCUGAGAUACUUGAAGGGUUCUCCUGGGAAAAGACUGAUAUACAAGAGUCAUGGACAUCUAGUGUUUUUGUAG
This 768-nucleotide ribosomal RNA is filed under the name Triticum aestivum (bread wheat). Its description in RNAcentral is "partial small subunit ribosomal RNA". Lineage: Eukaryota; Viridiplantae; Streptophyta; Magnoliopsida; Poales; Poaceae. The record is from RNAcentral.